GAGACUGUAGCCAGGUCUGGAAGUCUACUUCAGGUGGGCAGCUUCGAGGACCUUGGUGAUUCAGAGGUGAAGAACAGACAUCCUUACAAUGAAAAGGACCAGGACAGCUCAAUGGGAGCUCCUGGAGGAGCUACAUCGGUCCACACCGGGUCUUUGUGCCUCACUCCCCCCUAGACCUGCAGACGGGACACCGGGUUCGAGUCCUGCUGCCCUCGGGACGGAUCAGCACAGGCACGAUUCGUUACCUGGGCCACCUGGAUGGGGAGCCAGACUUCCAUAUGGGAGUGGAGCUGGAAUCACUUGAACACGGGCAGCAGGAUGGCAUACACAGGGGACAGUGCUACUUUGAAUGCGAGGCUGGCCACGGUGCCUUUGUGCCAUUCACCAAGCUGUUGAUGGCCUGGGAGUGAUGACAUCACAGUCUCUAUGGUGGCGGGUCACAUCUGGAUGAAUCAUUUGAACUCUUUGGCAUCAAUCACGAAUGGUCUCUGAAAGCAAUCUUACACUACCGGUUAAACGUUUUAGGACACCUACUCAUUCAAGGGUUUUUAUUUAUUUGUACUAUUUUCUACAUUGUAGAAUGAUAGUGAAGACAACAUGCUUCGAAGAUCAUAGAAUUGUCAAUAUCGGCCCUGUAUUAAAGACCAACAUUGGCUAAAGAAAAAGAGAACAAAAUUAUAAGAAAUACUAUAUACAGUAGUAUAUACUGUACAUGUAUACAAUGGUAUAUGUGGGAUCAGCACUAACACCAUUUUCUUUGUGUUCAGAAAUAAAAUAACACUCUUGUAGCCUCGAAUAGUAAUAGCUUAUUAUGCAUUUCGA
Long non-coding RNA from Oncorhynchus masou masou (cherry salmon), 822 nucleotides. RefSeq lists it as uncharacterized. NCBI's taxonomy places the organism in Eukaryota, Metazoa, Chordata, Actinopteri, Salmoniformes, Salmonidae. The record is from RefSeq and is a predicted model, not a curated record. The transcript has 3 exons.